Molecule: ribosomal RNA, 377 nt
Filed under: uncultured bacterium
Lineage: Bacteria
Description: bacterial SSU rRNA
Rfam family: Bacterial small subunit ribosomal RNA
Source: RNAcentral
UAAGACAGGGGUCUCGAGCGUUAAUCGGAAUUACUGGGCUUAAAGGGUGCGUAGGCGGCCGCGCAAGUGUCCCGUGAAAUCCCCCGGCUUAACCGGGGAACUGCGGGGCAAACUGCGCGGCUCGAGGAAGGUAGAGGCCGGUGGAACGAUAGGUGGAGCGGUGGAAUGCGUAGAGAUCUAUCGGAACGCCAAAGGUGAAGACAGCCGGCUGGGCCUUUCCUGACGCUGAGGCACGAAAGCGUGGGGAGCAAACCGGAUUAGAUACCCGGGUAGUCCACGCCCUAAACGAUGCACACUAGACCGGAGCGGCUCUGACGUCGUUCUGGUCGCAGAGAAAUUGAUAAGUGUGCCGCCUGGGGAGUACGGUCGCAAGGCUA